AUUCCAGCUCCAAUAGCGUAUAUUAAAGUUGUUGCGGUUAAAAAGCUCGUAGUUGGAUUUCUGCCGAGGACGACCGGUCCGCCCUGCGGGUGAGUAUCUGGGACGACCUGGGCAUCUUCUUGGAGAACGUGUCUGCACUUGACUGUGUGGUGCGGUAUCCAGGACUUUUACUUUGAGGAAAUUAGAGUGUUUCAAGCAGGCCCACGCCUUGAAUACAUUAGCAUGGAAUAAUAAGAUAGGACCUCGGUUCUAUUUUGUUGGUUUCUAGGACCGAAGUAAUGAUUAAGAGGGACAAUUGGGGGCAUCCGUAUUUCGUUGUCAGAGGUGAAAUUCUUGGAUUUACGAAAGACGAACAACUGCGAAAGCACUUGCCAAGAGUGUUUUCAUUA
This 389-nucleotide ribosomal RNA is filed under the name Torodinium sp. RNAcentral's name for it is "partial small subunit ribosomal RNA". It matches the Rfam family "Eukaryotic small subunit ribosomal RNA", at positions 582 to 975 of the family's 1831-position model. The record is from RNAcentral. Lineage: Eukaryota; Dinophyceae; Torodiniales; Torodiniaceae.